Vespula vulgaris is the source of this 3846-nucleotide long non-coding RNA. RefSeq lists it as uncharacterized. The transcript has 5 exons. The record is from RefSeq and is a predicted model, not a curated record. NCBI's taxonomy places the organism in Eukaryota, Metazoa, Arthropoda, Insecta, Hymenoptera, Vespidae.
UAUACCUCUCUCGUGAAGACUAAAGAGAGGAGUCAAUAGGGAGGAGAGUACGAAACCGUCCCGAUUACAAGUGUGCGCGUCACAUUAGCGUAUGUCGACUACGAAACUAAUUAAUUUACAUUAUUUGUUAUUUAUUUAUUAGCCGCAGAGGAGAUCGUUUAUCUUGAAAGUUGACGUUCUCGAGCAGACGUCGAGGAAUGUCCAAGAGAGGCAUUAAGGAUACCAGCCACAUCUGUGCAAUCCGCAAAAGCCAACUAUAUUUUCGUGUGGCCAUUUAUAACUGACCUGUUCCACUAGCCGCGACUACUUAGUGGCUAUUUUACAGUGGAAAAGUGGCCCGUAGGCUGGACACAAGGAAUGGUCCGAGGAGAGGGAAGGGGAGGACGAGUUCAAAAGUUCACAUGAAAAACAGCGUCAGGAAAUUGCUAGGAAAUGGCUGGGAGCGAAUGGUCACCCUUUCGACGCUCCUCGUUUCAUUUCUCGUCCUUAUAAUAAUCUAAAUAGCUCGAAGAGAAUCCUUUAAAAGAGCUGAGCCGGUUGUUAGAUUUAAAAAAUGUCGACGGAUACUCACUAAGCGAGCUUGAUGUCGGGGCAGGAAAUUAAGACCACUCCCUUUCUCGCCCACGUCCUACUACGAAUUUAUUUUCUUCUAAUCGUUCCUUCUUAUCCGUUCGUCCAUGUGUAAAUAUGUAUACAUCGAUGUUUAUUCUUUUUACCUUUCUCGAAUAUUUAACCUCGUGAGUUAAGUCGCUAAUGUGUACUUUAGAAGUCAACUAUUAGAGCUCUUUCUCUAUCUGUUUUUUUUUCUUAUUUUUGUUUACCAUUGUGAAAAGUACAUUCUUUUAUAUGUUCUCUUUCAGAAUGAAAACGCAUAAGUGAAUUAGGAAUUCUCGCGGAUUUCGAGUAAUAUAAAGAAUUUGAAGGUAAUCUCCUUUAUCUCGAAGCUUUCAAAUUUUAACUAUAGCAUGUAAAGAUGAGAAGAGGCAAUCGAAUCGACUGUCUUAACCUUUGGCAGACUUGGUAAUUCGUGAAAUCGAAGAGUUUCGUGAAGUACGAUUUUUUCCUCUCAUGUUUAUGCAUCGAAACGAGGGUUGUACGAUUUACGUAAGACAGUAAAGCUGAAAUUACAGCAGGAAGGAUAUUGCGGAGCUUCCAUCGUAGAACCGAUUCCUUUUAUCGUAACUAAAGGUUAUUACGAUGGAUACCCUCUCUUUCUCUUCGAAGAGAAACAGGUUCGUAGAAGGUUGUAACUUCGACUUUCGAAGUUUACCGUCUUACUUUUAUAUCCACUUGCUUUCUCGCAAUUUAGAAAUAACUUGAAAUUUAGAAAUCCCUCCGACAAGAAUGUUUCCUUGAUUUCAUUCGUUCAUUACUUACAAUAACGUACAAAUUUUGAUAACAAUGCUUUUGGAAUUUUCGAUUUAUGUCAAUAAUCGAUUAUUAUCGACCAUUACACGGAUUAAUCAAAUGUCACUGAAUUAUAUUUGAGGAUCAUAUGAGAUAACAAAAAUGGCAAUCGUUCUUAAAGAAGUUAAUCACCGUCUUCAAAGAAAGAUCAAUAAAAGAGAUUUAAUUAAUACGUCGCGAUCAUUAUUAACACCAAUUGUUGCCUGUCAAAAAUAGUUACAUUCUUACUUCAGAAUAGUUGGAUUUUUAAUUUUCUUCGCGUCGAAGUUACUCCUCUUGUAGACGUCAGCACAUUCAUCCCUUUGCCUUAUUUCCUCGUAUGAGGAAAAGACGUGAGAUCGCCAAGGGGGAUCAAUUUACAGUAAAAAAUAAAAAGAGAGAGUGAGAAAGAGAGAGAAAGGAAGAAAAAAGAAGGAGGCCUGUAAAAGCGGGGACCAACACCGCAGCUGUGAAACAACUCAAACGUAUAAAGAAACGACAGUGGAUAUAACGCGAAAACGCGUUUCCUGGCGGAAAUAAUUCGUGUUCAGAAUGGUCAGCUGGACCCUCCUACACGUAAAUCACGACGCUGCCGCAGAUCCAAUUAUCAAAUUGUCCGGCACUUCAGCCUAGUCAAGAGAACCAUCGAGAUGGCGUGAAACGACAGAGGAAAAGGGAGGAAAGGAAUAGAGCUGAAGGAGAUGCAACGAUGUGCUUCGAAGAAGAACGUACGUUCCAUGCUGCCGUCGAGGUGACAUUAUUGUUGACUAAUACUUAUCUGAGAAAUUCCAAUGAUGCAAAACGAGCAUAUCUUCGGCGUUAUCUUAUUUUUGAUAAAAUAUUUUCCUCUUGACGCUGGGUUACCAAGAACGUUGAAUUCUCCAUCAGAUUUUCUUCUCGGACAAAGGUCAAUGUGAAAUAUGAUUAUAAGAUUGUUUCGAGCGAAUAAUAAACUAACAAUGAUUCGAUUUCUCGAGGAAAGAUCGGGAAAGAGUGAGCGAAAAAAGAUAAAUUCUCAACCGCGGUCGAUGGUUUCAUCGGGCGACCGAAAAUAUCUGAACGAGGAGGUUUCUCCCUCGGGCAACGACAAUUGAGUCAAUUUAGAGAGCGGUUUUGAUAGGUCGCCUGACAUGUGAGCGCGUUACACGGCAGGUGUUCUGAAAUAUUACGCCCGCGUGCUACGCCAAUUAUCCCCGACGUCAUGCCCGAAAGGCGUAAUGGACGAUUACUACCGACACCAAAUCGCGACGCUUUUUUAUUUGUCCCCAUUUUGAACUGAGUUCAGAGAUGCUGCAAAGAGCAUCGCCUAUAUGCGUCUUCUAUUCGAUGGAUGAGAAUUUCUUUCGCUAUUAUCUAACAUAUACGCAAACGAUCGAUGACGAUCUACAAUUAAUAAAAUUAAACGUAAUAACGUAUAUACAUACCACAUAUAUUCACUAAAGUUAUAUUAUAUCGUGUUAUUUAUUAACAAGACGAAACUGUUUUUAAAAUACGCAAUAAAAUUGUAACGAAAUUAAUUCACUUACGAAUCUUUCUCUUACCAAGGCACAAGCACACAAGAUAAUCGUUCGGCGUCUGAUUCGAUACUGUUAUUUAAUCGCUUAUUCCAUCUUUCGGUGAUCCUUAUUGAUAAACAGAGGUCCCCAAUAUGUAGAAAUCAAAACAUACACACGUACUAGAUAUAUUUAUAUUGUAUUAUGUGACCUUACAAUGUGUCGAAUGUAUACACAUAUACAAUAUUCCCCGAGGGCCUUCCCUGAUUAUCAAACAAUGACUUACGUACCAAUAAAGUAUGUUAAAAAUACACAGGUGACUUUUUGAUUUAUAUACGAUUAUUUUUAUGUAUCGAUGUGUGUGUUUUUAAUCUGUUUCCUUCGAUCGUUUUUUACCGAUAAUAUAUAUUGGAAUAUAAUGUCGAAAUUGAAUAUAAGUCGAUAAGCCAAGACGAUAAAAGCACUAGUAUAGAGAAAGUAUAGAUAUUGAAAUUUAAUAUUUUAAAAUCGUGAAUUUAUUUGUAUUCAUGAUCUUCCUUUAAAAAGAAUAACUUUUUGUUCUAAUACUAAUCGUAUAAUUUCGUGUAUAGAAUACUAUCAAGAUGUCAAAAGUUACCUUUUCCCUACUCGUUAUUGCAUUAAUAAUGUGCAUUAUUGUACAAACUAUUUUGACUGCACCAACCUUGCAAGAGAACGAAGAAGGACAAUUGGCCGGAUGCGGUCAUCAGGCUGCUCACUGUAAAAGAAACUCAGAUUGCUGCUUUUAUCUGAAAUGUCACAACUACGCUAAAUUGUGCCUGCCUUAGGAAGAACAAAUUAAAACAGAACACACACACACUCAUAUAACUGGACACGUUAGCUAAUCUAAUACGAUUACUAUUGUGUUAUUUAUAUUACUUAUUAAAGUUCGUAAACGUUACAAUUAUGAUCAUAAGAAUGUAAAAUAAAACUAUACGUUUAAUAUCAA